This 435-nucleotide ribosomal RNA is filed under the name uncultured Lachnospiraceae bacterium. RNAcentral's name for it is "partial 16S ribosomal RNA". It matches the Rfam family "Bacterial small subunit ribosomal RNA", at positions 341 to 792 of the family's 1533-position model. Lineage: Bacteria; Bacillati; Bacillota; Clostridia; Lachnospirales; Lachnospiraceae. The record is from RNAcentral.
ACGGGAGGCAGCAGUGGGGAAUAUUGGACAAUGGGGGCAACCCUGAUCCAGCGACGCCGCGUGAGUGAAGAAGUAUUUCGGUAUGUAAAGCUCUAUCAGUAGGGAAGAAAAAUGACAGUACCUAACUAAGAAGCCCCGGCUAACUACGUGCCAGCAGCCGCGGUGAUACGUAGGGAGCGAGCGUUGUCCGGAUUUACUGGGUGUAAAGGGUGCGUAGGCGGGCUUGCAAGUCAGGCGUGAAAUACCGGGGCUUAACUCCGGGGCUGCGCUUGAAACUGUAAGUCUUGAGUGAAGUAGAGGCAGGCGGAAUUCCCAGUGUAGCGGUGAAAUGCGUAGAUAUUGGGAGGAACACCAGUGGCGAAGGCGGCCUGCUGGGCUUUAACUGACGCUGAGGCACGAAAGUAUGGGGAGCAAACAGGAUUAGAUACCCUGGUA